RNAcentral lists this ribosomal RNA (688 nucleotides) under uncultured bacterium. RNAcentral's name for it is "bacterial SSU rRNA". It matches the Rfam family "Bacterial small subunit ribosomal RNA", at positions 104 to 810 of the family's 1533-position model. The record is from RNAcentral.
GGGUGAGUAACGCGUGGGUAACCUGCCCCAUAGAGGGGGACAACAGUUGGAAACGACUGCUAAUACCGCAUAGUAAGGAACUGCCGCAUGACGGUUUCUUGAAAGAUUUAUCGCUAUGGGAUGGACCCGCGUCUGAUUAGCUAGUUGGUAAGGUAACGGCUUACCAAGGCGACGAUCAGUAGCCGGCUUGAGAGAGUGAACGGCCACAUUGGGACUGAGACACGGCCCAAACUCCUACGGGAGGCAGCAGUGGGGAAUAUUGCACAAUGGGGGAAACCCUGAUGCAGCGACGCCGCGUGAGUGAAGAAGUAUUUCGGUAUGUAAAGCUCUAUCAGCAGGGAAGAUAAUGACGGUACCUGACUAAGAAGCCCCGGCUAACUACGUGCCAGCAGCCGCGGUAAUACGUAGGGGGCAAGCGUUAUCCGGAUUUACUGGGUGUAAAGGGUGCGCAGGUGGCAGGGCAAGUCAGAUGUGAAAGCCCGGGGCUCAACCCCGGUAUUGCAUUUGAAACUGUCCGGCUAGAGUGCAGGAGAGGUAAGCGGAAUUCCUAGUGUAGCGGUGAAAUGCGUAGAUAUUAGGAGGAACACCAGUGGCGAAGGCGGCUUACUGGACUGUAACUGACACUGAGGCACGAAAGCGUGGGGAGCAAACAGGAUUAGAUACCCUGGCAGUCCACGCCGUAAACGAU